GGCAACCUGCCCUUUAGCUUGGGAUACCACUUGGAAACAGGUGCUAAUACCAAAUAAGAAGCUAAGAGCGCAUGCUCAAGCUAUGAAAGGCGGCUUUCGAGCUGUCACUAAAGGAUGGGCCCGCGUGCAUUAGCUAGUGGUAGUAACGCUUACAAGGCAAUGAUGCAUAGCCGAGUUGAGGGACUGAUCGGCCACAUUGGGACUGAGACACGGCCCAAACUCCUACGGGAGGCAGCAGUAGGGAAUCUUCCACAAUGGACGCAAGUCUGAUGGAGCAACGCCGCGUGAGUGAAGAAGGUUUUCGGAUCGUAAAGCUCUGUUGUUGGUGAAGAAGGAUAGGGAUAGUAACUGAUUCUUAUUUGACGGUAAUCAACCAGAAAGUCACGGCUAACUACGUG
Molecule: ribosomal RNA, 398 nt
Filed under: uncultured bacterium
Lineage: Bacteria
Description: bacterial SSU rRNA
Rfam family: Bacterial small subunit ribosomal RNA
Source: RNAcentral